This 468-nucleotide ribosomal RNA is filed under the name uncultured bacterium. RNAcentral's name for it is "partial 16S ribosomal RNA". It matches the Rfam family "Bacterial small subunit ribosomal RNA", at positions 28 to 507 of the family's 1533-position model. The record is from RNAcentral.
GACGAACGCUGGCGGCGUGCUUAACACAUGCAAGUCGAACGGAAAGGCCCUGCUUUUGUGGGGUGCUCGAAUGGCGAACGGGUGAGUAACACGUGAGUAACCUGCCCUUGACUUUGGGAUAACUUCAGGAAACUGGGGCUAAUACCGGAUAGGAGCUCCUGCUGCAUGGUGGGGGUUGGAAAGUUUCGGUGGUUGGGGAUGGACUCGCGGCUUAUCAGCUUGUUGGUGGGGUAGUGGCUUACCAAGGCUUUGACGGGUAGCCGGCCUGAGAGGGUGACCGGCCACAUUGGGACUGAGAUACGGCCCAGACUCCUACGGGAGGCAGCAGUGGGGAAUAUUGCACAAUGGGCGGAAGCCUGAUGCAGCAACGCCGCGUGCGGGAUGACGGCCUUCGGGUUGUAAACCGCUUUCGCCUGUGACGAAGCGUGAGUGACGGUAAUGGGUAAAGAAGCACCGGCUAACUACGUG